GGGUAAUGACCCAAACCUAUAUGGCCCCUGGAUUGGACUGCGGCCGAUCAGGCUGUUGGUGAGGUAAUGGCCCACCAAACCUGUAACCGGUACGGGCUCUGAGAGGAGGAGCCCGGAGAUGGGCACUGAGACAAGGGCCCAGGCCCUAUGGGGCGCAGCAGGCGCGAAACCUCUGCAAUAGGCGAAAGCUUGACAGGGUUACUCUGAGUGAUUUCCGUUAAGGAGAUCUUUUGGCACCUCUAAAAAUGGUGCAGAAUAAGGGGUGGGCAAGUCUGGUGUCAGCCGCCGCGGUAAUACCAGCACCCCGAGUGGUCGGGACGUUUAUUGGGUCUAAAGCAUCCGUAGCCGGUUCUACAAGUCUUCCGUUAAAUCCACCUGCUCAACAGAUGGGCUGCGGAAGAUACUAUGGAGCUAGGAGGCGGGAGAGGCAAGCGGUACUCGAUGGGUAGGGGUAAAAUCCGUUGAUCCAUUGAAGACCACCAGUGGCGAAGGCGGCUUGCCAGAACGCGCUCGACGGUGAGGGAUGAAAGCUGGGGGAGCAAACCGGAUUAGAUACCCGGGUAGUCCCAGCUGUAAACGAUGCAGACUCGGUGAUGAGUUGGCUUUAUGCCAACUCAGUGCCGCAGGGAAGCCGUUAAGUUUGCCGCCUGGGGAGUACGGUCGCAAGACUGAAACUUAAAGGAAUUGGCGGGGGAGCACCACAAGGGGUGAAGCCUGCGGUUCAAUUGGAGUCAACGCCGGAAACCUUACCGGGGGCGACAGCAGAAUGAAGGUCAAGCUGAAGACUUUACCAGACAAGCUGAGAGGAGGUGCAUGGCCGUCGCCAGCUCGUGCCGUGAGGUGUCCUGUUAAGUCAGGUAACGAGCGAGACCCCUGCUUCUAGUUGCUACCAUUAUUCUCAGGAGUAGUGGAGCUAAUUAGAGGGACUGCCGUCGCUGAGACGGAGGAAGGAGGGGGCUACGGCAGGUCAGUAUGCCCCUAAACCCUCGGGCCACACGCGGGUAGCAAUGGUAAGGACAAUGAGUUUCGAUUCCGAAAGGAGGAGGCAAUCUCUAAACCGUACCACAGUUAUGAUUGAGGGCUGAAACUCGCCCUCAUGAAU
This 1102-nucleotide ribosomal RNA is filed under the name uncultured archaeon. RNAcentral describes it as "bacterial SSU rRNA". It matches the Rfam family "Archaeal small subunit ribosomal RNA", at positions 177 to 1281 of the family's 1478-position model. The record is from RNAcentral.